AACACAUCACAUAAAUGAGUGAUUGCCCUAGCAGCAAGCAGCAUUAUAUCCGGAUUACUCUCAUGGUUCAGUAACCCAACAAGCACUGGUACAAAUGAAUCCACCGAGAAAGUACUCAAUGACUCCUCAGUUCCAAUUGAGAGCAUCUCACAAAGCUGAGUUAAAGCCUCCACUUGCUUCCCUUCCUCCCCAUCUGAUCGCAAACCUGAUAAAAUCUUCUUCAGUCUGCC
Molecule: unclassified non-coding RNA, 230 nt
Filed under: Hevea brasiliensis (rubber tree)
Lineage: Eukaryota; Viridiplantae; Streptophyta; Magnoliopsida; Malpighiales; Euphorbiaceae
Source: RNAcentral